AGAAGCAGACUGAUAGGAAUGAAAUAUAUAGGGGAACUCCCAGCAAGAAGGGGAGCAAAGGAGAAACAGGAAAACACAUACAAAUAAAAUAACAAUUCCUCCCUUUCCUGAAUAUCUGGCCAUAAAAUUUUUAUCUUCCAUUAAAAUGACAAACAACAUAUGUUGCAUCAUAAAAGUUGGAAAUAUAUUGUUAAAACCUUAUCUCCACAAUCCCUAAGUCAAAAUUUCCUCUUCAGAACAUGACUUCACCCCUACAUUAAACCCAAGUAUCCACUCCUGGGAGAGGGAUGCUUGAGAACAAUGAGAGGUCCUUUCAAAUUGCAGAAAUUAAAGCUUCCAAGUCAAGAACCUAGGAUAUAGCCCCUUUUUACCUACUAAUAUCCUAUUUAUACUAUGCAUUUCAAUGUAAACAAGACUUCCUUCAUACCAAAUGAGAGGCUGUACACCUAGACACUAAAU
Long non-coding RNA from Sapajus apella (tufted capuchin), 459 nucleotides. RefSeq lists it as uncharacterized. The transcript has 2 exons. NCBI's taxonomy places the organism in Eukaryota, Metazoa, Chordata, Mammalia, Primates, Cebidae. The record is from RefSeq and is a predicted model, not a curated record.